AGACGGAGGGUGCUAGCGUUGUUCGGAAUCACUGGGCGUAAAGGGCGCGUAGGCGGCCCAUGCCGUCGGCUUCGUGAAAGCCCGGGGCUCAACCCCGGAGGUGCGGCCGAAACACAUGGGCUCGAGGCCGGAAGAGGAGGGUGGAAUACCCAGUGUAGAGGUGAAAUUCGUAGAUAUUGGGUGGAACACCGGUGGCGAAAGCGGCUCUCUGGUCCGGACCUGACGCUGAGGCGCGAAAGCGUGGGGAGCAAACAGG
Molecule: ribosomal RNA, 256 nt
Filed under: uncultured prokaryote
Description: partial 16S ribosomal RNA
Rfam family: Bacterial small subunit ribosomal RNA
Source: RNAcentral